CUACGGGGGGCAGCAGUGGGGAAUAUUGCACAAUGGAGGAAACUCUGAUGCAGCAACGCCGCGUGGAGGAUGACACUUUUCGGAGCGUAAACUCCUUUUAUAUAGGAAGAAGGUGACGGUACUAUAUGAAUAAGCGCCGGCUAACUCCGUGCCAGCAGCCGCGGUAAUACGGAGGGCGCAAGCGUUACUCGGAAUCACUGGGCGUAAAGAGCGUGUAGGCGGAUUAAAAAGUCAGAAGUGAAAUCCUAUAGCUUAACUAUAGAACUGCUUCUGAAACUCUUAAUCUAGAAUAUGGGAGAGGUAGAUGGAAUUUUUGGUGUAGGGGUAAAAUCCGUAGAGAUCAGAAGGAAUACCGAUUGCGAAGGCGAUCUACUAGAACAUUAUUGACGCUGAGACGCGAAAGCGUGGGGAGCAAACAGGAUUAGAUACCCCGGUAGUC
This 439-nucleotide ribosomal RNA is filed under the name uncultured bacterium. RNAcentral's name for it is "partial 16S ribosomal RNA". It matches the Rfam family "Bacterial small subunit ribosomal RNA", at positions 339 to 795 of the family's 1533-position model. The record is from RNAcentral.